Molecule: long non-coding RNA, 280 nt
Organism: Micropterus dolomieu (smallmouth bass)
Lineage: Eukaryota; Metazoa; Chordata; Actinopteri; Centrarchiformes; Centrarchidae
Exons: 3
Source: RefSeq, a predicted model, not a curated record
UGGUUCCCCCCACACACUGGAAUGACGCAAAAUGCAAAUAUUGGCCACUAAUUGCCGUAUUGUCUACUCAUCACCGCUUGGAACAGAAAUGCUAGGAGCAGCGGCAAUAACACAAAGCAGCAAUGCCAGGGAAGCGCCACAAAAAUGAGGGAUACUUUGCUGUGGCUGGUGACAUGGCACAGAGGGGAGAUCCAGCGGAGCACUCGAGCACUUUCCUGCAAUUUUCAGGCAGUAAAUACAGGGGCAGGCAACUUGAUCACAAGCCCUAGCUGAAAUGACA